Molecule: unclassified non-coding RNA, 1627 nt
Filed under: Hevea brasiliensis (rubber tree)
Lineage: Eukaryota; Viridiplantae; Streptophyta; Magnoliopsida; Malpighiales; Euphorbiaceae
Source: RNAcentral
AUUCCUAGUAAAUAGCAACAAUCCUUAAAACAGCUCCAAGACAACUACUCAUCAUGCAAGCUAGAAUAGUUUGCAGCAGGUUCUUGUAGAAAAAUUUGGCGCAAACAAUGAGAAAAAUGAGACUAAGAGGCAUCUAGAAAAGGAGGAGAACAACAGGCAUGAAAAGAAUAAGAAAAAUGAGGACUGAGAAGCAGAAAAGAUAGAAUGUAGAUAAGGGAGUCUCAGGUAAUUAUUUUUUUGGAUUAUGUGAAGCAGAAUAAUAGACAGGGAAGGAAGAAAAAGGGAAAGACAAAGAUGUGAAGAGAACCAAGAGGAGCUACAAGAAAAGAAAAGGAAAAUUGAUCGAGCGAAGAAGAGUAGUGAAGCAGAACAAUAUAGAGAGAGAGAGCUAAUGGACCUGUUUCUGUGCAGAGAAACCCUAACAGCAGUUCUUUUCCUCCCCUUUGUGUAGAAUGUUCUCAAUUUCUUAUCUAUUACAGGCUUCUUUCUUUUGUUGUUUUAAUUUUUUCUGAGGUGAAUGAGAACAUGGUAGGCUCACAUCGGUAUUAAAAGCAGUGGUGUAGAUCUAUGGAUGAAAUACCAUUUAAAUAAGAAAAACAAAAGAAGGGAGAAGGAAGAAGAAAUGUAAAAACUAUUAGAGAAAAAUAUUAGCACGGCACACAUUUCAUGGGAAAGUCUGAUGAACCUUACCUGCCUUUUACAGGUUGAGGUGGCAGGGGUGCAGCCCUAGCUUCUUAUGCCUUUGGUAUUUCUUUAACAACUAUGUUUCUCAUGUUCAUGAUUUCCUGUUUCAGAAGAAUAAUGGAGUUAAGGUUCAGAUGUGGUUCUUAGCCACCUUUGUCUGCUUUUUUUACUAAAAUAGUAAUAUGCGCUUAUUCCAACCAUUAAUUUCUUUACCUUGAGCAAAUAAGGUGGUGCUUUGUUGAAUGGAAGUGUCAAAUUUGAUAAUUGUAUAUGAUCUUAGAGCUCAUGCCAAUUUCAGUGAUGGUACAGAUGUAAAAAUGUUGGUGAAUGUUCUAACAAUAUUAUGUUGUAAGCACCAUACUGGCAUACUCUACUUGGGCCACCUUGGCAUCUGAUUGGUUCUUGUCUACUAUCUUGUUGAAGUUCUCCACUGCUUUACUGGACAGUUUUGUAUUUUGGGACUAAAUUGGAUAAAUUAUAUACACUAACUAUAGCAACAUUGUUCACAUGAUUAUAGCACCCCUUUGUCACUCUUUUAUGAUUUUAGUUUCUUCUUCUUUUUCUUAUGUGUGUUGGUACAGCAAUGAACUGUAGGUAGGCUUUCUUGCUUAAUAAAUGUCUUUAGUUAUGAAGUACUGAGUAUUCCAUGAUACAUAUUUUAUGCAUUUGCAAAUUAUUCCUCGAGUGAGUUAAUUCAUUAGGGAGAAAUCUUCUUUUUGUCUUCACCGCAUUCUGCUUGGCCUAGUCAACAUGUGAACUAAUUGGUCAGUUAAAUUAAUGAAUGUUAUUGCAAUGUUUUAUGGGUUAAAAAGGAAAAUUAUGAUUCUUCUUAUCUGACCCUAAAGUUUUUGUUGCUAUGAUGCACAGAUAUGCGGGUUUUUGCCAAGUAGCUGAGUUGUAAUUAUAUUCUUUGUUUUGCAGGAAUGGAACAAUAUUGUUAAUG